Molecule: ribosomal RNA, 253 nt
Filed under: uncultured bacterium
Lineage: Bacteria
Description: partial 16S ribosomal RNA
Rfam family: Bacterial small subunit ribosomal RNA
Source: RNAcentral
GACGGAGGAUACAAGCGUUAUCCGGAAUGAUUGGGCGUAAAGCGUCCGCAGGUGGCAGUUCAAGUCUGCUGUCAAAGACCGGGGCUUAACUUCGGAAAGGCAGUGGAAACUGAACAGCUAGAGUAUGGUAGGGGCAGAGGGAAUUCCUGGUGUAGCGGUGAAAUGCGUAGAUAUCAGGAAGAACAUCGGUGGCGAAGGCGCUCUGCUGGACCAUAACUGACACUCAGGGACGAAAGCUAGGGGAGCGAAUGGG